Molecule: ribosomal RNA, 202 nt
Filed under: uncultured bacterium
Lineage: Bacteria
Description: partial 16S ribosomal RNA
Rfam family: Bacterial small subunit ribosomal RNA
Source: RNAcentral
CCGAUGGAGGGGGAUAACUACUGGAAACGGUAGCUAAUACCGCAUAACGUCGCAAGACCGAAGAGGGGGACCUUCGGGCCUCUUGCCAUCGGAUGUGCCCAGAUGGGAUUAGCUAGUAGGUGGGGUAACGGCUCACCCAGGCGACGAUCCCUAGCUGGUCUGAGAGGAUGACCAGCCACACUGGAACUGAGACACGGUCCAG